RNAcentral lists this ribosomal RNA (497 nucleotides) under uncultured bacterium. Its description in RNAcentral is "partial 16S ribosomal RNA". It matches the Rfam family "Bacterial small subunit ribosomal RNA", at positions 28 to 507 of the family's 1533-position model. The record is from RNAcentral.
GAUGAACGCUGGCGGCGGGCCUAAUACAUGCAAGUCGAGCGAACAGACGAGGAGCUUGCUCCUCUGACGUUAUCGGCGGACGGGUGAGUAACACGUGGAUAACCUACCUAUAAGACUGGGAUAACUUCGGGAAACCGGAGCUAAGACCGGAUAAUAUAUUGAACAGCGUUGUUCAAUAGUUAAAGACGGUUUUGCGGUCGCUUAUAGAUUGAUAAGCGCUGCAUUAGCUAGUUGGUAAGGUAACGGCUUACCAAGGCAAGGAUGCGUAGCCGACCUAAAGGGGUCGUUGGCUAGACUGGAUGUGAGAAACGGCCCAGACUCUUGCGGGAGGAAGCAGUCGGGAAUCUUCCGCAAUGGGCGAAAGCCUGACGGAGCAACGCCGCGUGAGUGAUGAAGUUCUUAGGAUCCUAAAACUAUGUUAUCCGGGAAGAACAAAUGUGUAAGUAACUAUGAACGUCUUGACGGUACCUACUCAGAAAGCCACGGCUAACUCCGUG